Paramuricea clavata is the source of this 660-nucleotide non-coding RNA. NCBI's taxonomy places the organism in Eukaryota, Metazoa, Cnidaria, Anthozoa, Malacalcyonacea, Plexauridae. The record is from the annotation of a GenBank genome assembly.
UACAUGCUUUGUUCUUGUGGCCGUCAAGCUCCAUUCAUGUCUUUUUUUAUUAAUGGCUUUCGGUCUUUAUUGAUUUAUACUCGCAGUUAGAAUAAUACUGUAUUUUCAAAAGGACGAAAAUCAAAAAUAUACUCUCUGUCGAUCAACUAAAAAUAUAAACAUACAAAAUCACUGUAAAGUCCAGGGGGGGUUGAACUUUGUCGCCCACGAACAUUCGAGCCACGGGUCAGUGGAGACCCCCAUGAAAAGGGUCAUGUAGCAGCUCCAACAAGGUCUUUUGUGAUUGGUCAAAGGGAUAGUUAAAUAUUAAUUAUAUACUGGACAAAUAAAUUCUAUGUUCGUAUACAAUAUAGAAAUUUGCGUAUUAACUUGUUCUAUUUUUAAUCAUUUACAAGCAAUAAUCUUAAGGGAAGAUAAUCAAGCAGUUAUAUAGUAGUGAAGAGUAUAGCAUUGUAGGUAGUGAAGGUAGUAGCGAGGGUAGCGGAGGUAGCGAGGGUAGCGAGAGUAGCGACGGUAGCGAGAGUAGCGACGGUAGCGACGGUAGCGACGGUAGCGAGAGUAGCGACGGUAGCGAGAGUAGCGAGGGUAGCGACGGUAGCGGAGGUAGCGAGAGUAGCGACGGUAGCGAGGGUAGCGACGGUAGCGAGAGUAGCGACGGUA